CCACAACGCUGCAGAAUUAACACCAGAAACACAAAGGGAACAAUAAAUAAGAAAUGUUGCAACAAUCUCCUGGGCGUUGUUGCUGACGCAGAGAAAAUUACAACAAUCCUUGCAACCAAAAAACACCUUGAUAAUGCCAAUUCAUGCCAUUACUAAAGAUCCAUAGUCUCACAAAAUCCACAACACAAUAACCAACAAUUGAGUUAGGUGCUGGUACCGGAGCCAACUCCUGAGCCGAGUUGCAGCAGCAGCAGCAGAGAAAAUCACAACAACCAUUGCAACCAAAAACAUGUUAAUAAUGCUAAUUCGUUCGAAAAUAGAGACUUCCAAUAUAGAUCUAGCAGAAUCAUAAGACAAAAAGCAAACAAACUCUCUAACACUAGUAAUAAAAUGAAGAUUUAUUUAUUAUAUAUACUGCAAAAAGAAUAAUAAUAAUAAUAAUAGUAAUACAUAUCAAACCAAUAAUCAUAGCCAAACAUCCUAAGUCUCUACCAAAUCAAUCGCAGCAGCAGCAGAGAAAAUCACAACAACCAUUGCAACCAAAAACAUCUUAAUAAUGCUAAUUCGUUCGAAAAUAGAGACUUCCAAUAUAGAUCUAGCAGAAUCAUAAGACAAAAAGGAAACAAACUCUCUAACACUAGUAAUAAAAUGAAGAUUUAUUUAUUAUAUAUACUGCAAAAAGAAUAAUAAUAAUAAUAAUAAUAGUAAUACAUAUCAAACCAAUAAUCAUAGCCAAACAUCCUAAGUCUCUACCAAAUCAAUCACUCCAUCUCCAUCUUCCGCAAAAUGGACUCAGUGCCUCAGGAGAGCAACAGCAGAAACAAGUAGAGAAGUAGCAACCAAAGCACCAGAUUGAGCCAGAGAGAAUCCAGCUCCAGCAUCAGGUGCCGGUGCCGGAGCCAACUCCUGAGCCGAUGUUGCAGCAGCAGACAACACAACAACAAUCACUGCAACCAAAAACGACUUAACAAUGCUGUAUUGUGCCAUUUCUAAUUGGUGGAACAAGAAGAAGAACAAAGAGAUUGAGAAGAUGCGGCGAGAAUUAGGGUUUUGAUUGAUGAAAAUGAAGGGAAAGGGAGUAGUGAAUUUAUUUAUAGGAGGGUGAGGGAACGCGUGAAGGGAGACAGCUGGCACAGAGAACGAGAAGAUGCGGCGAGAAUUAGGGUUUUGAUUGAUGAAAAUGAAGGGGAAGGGAGUAGUGAAUUUAUUUAUAGGAGGGUGAGGGAACGCGUGAAGGGAGACAGCUGGCACAGAGAAAGAGAGAGAGAGUUUUCAUCGAAUCGGCGGGGGCAUGUGAAAGCACGAAAGUUGUUAGUUGCGGGCGCUGGAAAAAUUUGCUGGACACGUUGCACAUAUCUACUCGAAAUGACCUGCUCAAACUUGGACUCUUCUCU
RNAcentral lists this long non-coding RNA (1394 nucleotides) under Capsicum annuum. RNAcentral's name for it is "long non-coding RNA (CANN_LNC016594)". Lineage: Eukaryota; Viridiplantae; Streptophyta; Magnoliopsida; Solanales; Solanaceae. The record is from RNAcentral.